Paramacrobiotus metropolitanus is the source of this 1298-nucleotide long non-coding RNA. RefSeq lists it as uncharacterized. The transcript is spliced from 3 exons. NCBI's taxonomy places the organism in Eukaryota, Metazoa, Tardigrada, Eutardigrada, Parachela, Macrobiotidae. The record is from RefSeq and is a predicted model, not a curated record.
UAAUGGUUUUCUGGUGGCUUACGCCGUGUUAUCGUGUUAGCUCGAGUAUCGAAGUUGCUUACAAUGUGAAAUAAUUUUACUUGGACUCAACAAGGGAUCUGUGACUGCAUCGCCUAAACUUUCAAUGCUGUCAAACUGAAUUAAAAACGCACUUCCGUUUCUGAAUUGUUCAGGAAGUUUUAUGGUGGGAUCGCCUCGUCAUAUUUUUUUGUACUGUGGUCAUCGCUGCUAUUACGCAAACCAAUUUUAAGCUUCUGAUUCGACAAACACGCCAAAUCACAGGAAUCAGAAUGAUAGAAUCCUCAACACCGGAAACAGCACUGUUCCCACCGCAAGCACAGGUGUCCAAGUGGAAUCAGGCCGUCCAACCUACGCUAACACGGCCAUCUACUCAUAAUACGAGUAAAUCUCCGGCGUGCGACCAUAAAGCGAGUUCCGUACAGAGUGAGCUAUUUUCUUUUGAAUACGACAUCACGACUGGACUAACACAUGAUGAAUUGCUUAUGCUGUCAAAUGAAACCAAGUGUCCAGAGGAAAAGCUGUUAUAUGACAAUGCUCAGAUGUCGGAUGCGCAUUCCUCUGUAGUGCUUUUAAGGCAUACUAUUUCCCCACUAGAAGACUGCACUAACUACCUCUACAUCCAACGAUCGUUAGAAAGCGAAGGAAAAUUUGAUAUUUUGGCUGGUCGAGCUAAACGAAUAAAGUACAAUGAUUACAGAAAGAAAAUACUUCCGUUCAUGGCGACAGCAGCUGGAGCAGGUGCCACCGCAGCUGCAGUUACCCUCGCUAUCGGCGCUUCGAAUGUCGCCACGCCGAUCGGAUUAUGCAUCGCAACCGCUGCUGUUGUGAUUAUGAAGCACGUCGGUAGUGUGCACCAUGAUACACUGACCAUGAAAGCGCAUAACUGUGGUAUAUGUCGAGCGCAAGCUGAAAAGGAGAUGACAGAUUAUAUCACACAAGAAAUGAAACGCCGGGGAAUCAUGCCGCCGCAUGGAGCUGUCCAUGUUUCUUUCUAGAAUGAAACUACAUAGUUACUGGAACUGCUUUAACUGGAAAUGGCUAUAAUGACAGAAGUGCAAGCACGUUUUGACUUCACAAUAAGUACCUGGACUAGGGAGAGCGACGCCAACGGCCGAAGGGUAUUGGGGAGUGCUGAAAGAUGUAAUUCUCGAACGCCAAAUUAAUACAGGAUGCACCGCAAUUUUGAGCUGGUACUGAUAUUGCUGACUCCAACAUACCACGUGGAGAAACGCAGAGCUGUCAAGGUGGAAUAAAAGUCAAUCUUUUUACCUUAGUGG